GAUUCUAACUUCUUUUUCUUUUCUAAUUUAGUCUAGCACAGUCUGAUCCACUUUGUCAAAAGAAGCGAUCAGUGACAUGGGCCCCGGAUGUGUAUGAUCCAGCUCCAACAGAGUUGUCACAUGCAUUAUCAGACAAGAGUCAGAGCCAUCAAAGCAAUAGGAAGAAGUUUGGGAAAAACAAGCAGAAAUGAAGAUGGUUUUGGUGGUGGAUUCCUGCCCUAUGGUAGUGCUUCCCACCGUUUAUUGUGCCAUUUGGUGAAGGCUGAUGGUUGGGUAGGUAUAUCUGCCAAUUCCGAGUCCUGUGGAUUGGGGGUGCCAAAGGAAGAUGUCGCAUGAGAUCACACAUGGAUAACUGUGAUGGAUUGUAAGGUUCACACUGGGCGCUUGACAGAGUUUUGAGGCUUUUCUUGCAAUAGGUUUGAGCUUAUUGUGCUUGUUUCUUUUAGGUCGUUUUUAGUGCUUGGUUGAUGGCUUAGAGUUUAUGUGAUUGGGCUGCUGUGGUGGGUUAGACUUUUUGGUACUUGGGCUGUGAUAAUGUUUUCUUUUCUAACAACUCUACCUGCUUUCCCUUUUUUCUUUUCUUUUAUUUUUUUUAAACAAACAAAUAACAAGAGUUCUUUUCUUCUACAAAUAAUACCAUUAAAAAUACCCUUUUGUAGACUAGACAUACCAUGAAUAGUAGGUUUUGACUGGGAUUUUAUCACUGGACCGAGGCAAUUUGGUAUCAAUUGAUGCAAAAUGAGAGACACGAAGAAGAAAGAAAUUGUAGGAACAAGUUAAUUGAAUUCUGCUUCGAUUUAUUCUUAAAAUUUUUGGUAAAAAUGAAAUCUACUGAAAUAAAUCAAAAUCAAUUUCUUAUUUCAAUUUUGGUGUAUUUUCAGCAUGUUUCUAUUGCCUCUUCCAUCACGUGUUCUAUCUUAGUAGACAUCAUUGUUUACUGCUAUAUAGAAUGUUCUCAUACAAUUAAAAAUAAGAUAAAUUAUUGACUUCGGUAUGAAACUGAGCUAUUGCUUGGAAUGACUAUUUUCCCUUCAAUUUUCCCUUGCUGUAUGCUUGCUUUUUCAAUGUUUAUUAAGUAGUUAUGAUGCAUUUUUAGAAAAAUUAUUUUCAGGAAUUGUCUACAGAUGAGAAUAUAUUCAAACCAUCUGAUGUUGAACAGGC
Molecule: long non-coding RNA, 1161 nt
Filed under: Olea europaea subsp. europaea
Lineage: Eukaryota; Viridiplantae; Streptophyta; Magnoliopsida; Lamiales; Oleaceae
Source: RNAcentral